Molecule: ribosomal RNA, 265 nt
Filed under: uncultured Paracoccaceae bacterium
Lineage: Bacteria; Pseudomonadati; Pseudomonadota; Alphaproteobacteria; Rhodobacterales; Paracoccaceae
Description: uncultured Rhodobacteraceae bacterium partial 16S ribosomal RNA
Rfam family: Bacterial small subunit ribosomal RNA
Source: RNAcentral
CAGAGUUUGAUCAUGGCUCAGAACGAACGCUGGCGGCAUGCCUAACACAUGCAAGUCGAACGAGAAGGUGCCUUCGGGUACUGGACAGUGGCGCACGGGUGAGUAACAUGUGGGAACCUACCAUUUAGUAAGGAACAACAGUUGGAAACGACUGCUAAUACCUUAUACGCUCUACGGAGGAAAGAUUUAUCGCUAAAUGAUGGGCCCGCGUUAGAUUAGAUAGUUGGUGAGGUAAUGGCUCACCAAAGGUCUACGAUCUAUAGCU